Molecule: ribosomal RNA, 497 nt
Filed under: uncultured bacterium
Lineage: Bacteria
Description: partial 16S ribosomal RNA
Rfam family: Bacterial small subunit ribosomal RNA
Source: RNAcentral
GACGAACGCUGGCGGCGUGCCUAAUACAUGCAAGUUGAGCGCUGAAGGUUGGUACUUGUACCAACUGGAUGAGCAGCGAACGGGUGAGUAACGCGUGGGGAAUCUGCCUUUGAGCGGGGGACAACAUUUGGAAACGAAUGCUAAUACCGCAUAAAAACUUUAAACACAAGUUUUAAGUUUGAAAGAUGCAAUUACAUCACUCAAAGAUGAUCCCGCGUUGUAUUAGCUAGUUGGUGAGGUAAAGGCUCACCAAGGCGAUGAUACAUAGCCGACCUGAGAGGGUGAUCGGCCACAUUGGGACUGAGACACGGCCCAAACUCCUACGGGAGGCAGCAGUAGGGAAUCGUCGGCAAUGGACGAAAGUCUGACCGAGCAACGCCGCGUGAGUGAAGAAGGUUUUCGGAUCGUAAAACUCUGUUGGUAGAGAAGAACGUUGGUGAGAGUGGAAAGCUCAUCAAGUGACGGUAACUACCCAGAAAGGGACGGCUAACUACGUG